RNAcentral lists this ribosomal RNA (253 nucleotides) under uncultured bacterium. RNAcentral describes it as "partial 16S ribosomal RNA". It matches the Rfam family "Bacterial small subunit ribosomal RNA", at positions 524 to 776 of the family's 1533-position model. The record is from RNAcentral.
UACGUAGGGUGCAAGCGUUAAUCGGAAUUACUGGGCGUAAAGCGUGCGCAGGCGGUUAUGCAAGUCAGAUGUGAAAUCCCCGGGCUCAACCUGGGAACUGCAUUUGGGACUGCAUGGCUAGAGUACGGUAGAGGGGGAUGGAAUUCCGCGUGUAGCAGUGAAAUGCGUAGAUAUGCGGAGGAACACCGAUGGCGAAGGCAAUCCCCUGGACCUGUACUGACGCUCAUGCACGAAAGCGUGGGGAGCAAACAGG